GCCUGCACUCCCUAGGGGCCCCUUGUACUUUACAGAUGCUCUGACCGGUCUAAUCGGCCCCAGGCCGGGAGAGGCAGCAGAGCCAUUCGCAGGCCACGCUCUCUGCGCGGGUGCCCUGUGUGCUGCAGGGCUGAGGGCCAAGGCCGAGCCUCUCUCUGCUGUCCAGCCCAGCACAACGACCCUCGCCGGCCUUUGGGGUCUUAGAAUGCAGAUUCCCUGGGAGAGGGAAACUCGUUAAAUGACAAUCCCUCAGUAAAAAUGUGGUUGUGAGCUAAAUCCUUAUAGCCGGUGACGGGGUGACAAGCAGCAACUUCAUGGAAUCGGAAAGCGCGAAACUCCCAAGGUGAAAAAGCCGCUGGGAUGAUACAGAGCCUGCCUCCUGCUGAGAAUCAUCUUAGGAAUUAAAUAGCCCAUACAACAAUCUCAGAGCACCGAGCGGGUGCUGCCCCUAAGGGAACAUCAGUUUGGUCUCACUUGCCGAGGUUCCCUAUCCAGGCUGCCCUCCUGGGAAAAUGCAGUCCGGGGCCCUAGGGAGUGCAGCCCAGGGCGCGGGGACAGGGAGGCGGGGUCCGCCCUAUGGCAUCGCGGUUUCUCCGAAAGGGAAGAUGGGCUUUCUCAGAACCACCCUUAGUUUCUACACUGUAAUCAACCCCAGAUGUGGGGUCACCCAGUGCCAGCUCUGGGGUCACAGAGCUGGCCUCCCUGGUUAGGACCCUGCAGCCUUUAACUCCUUUGCCCCGUUCCUGUAAUCAUUAUGGGUCAGGACGGGCCUGCUGGCCUUGGGUGCAGACGCGGGGUGGGUGUGCAGCACAGGCUAGUGAAUCUGAACAUAACUUUGGAAGUUGAAUCUCAGCCAUCCGUGGCCCUUCAAGAGCCUGGGGAUGCUGGAGUGUCCCUGCCCUCUAGGAAGGUGGAGGUAAACUGAGGCUGUAGGCGUGCCUAAUGCAAACAUGUUUAAACCACAGAAUGGACAUGCUCCUGGGUCCUCCGGCUGAGAUGAGGUAACAGUGACCACCCACAGCCUCAUCGUGGAGCACCUUCUGUGCAGGCACUGAGCACACUCACAGAAAUGACAUGCUGCUCUGUGGGAAACUGAAGCCCAGGGAGGUUAAGUGCCCUGCCUAAGGUCACCUUUUGAGAGAGUUCAGUGUUAGUAAGAAGCCAUCUUUUGGCGGGGAGCGGUGGCUCACGCCUGUAAUCCCAGCACUUUGCACUUUGGGAGGCCGAGACAGGCAGAUCACCUGAGGUCAGGAGUUUGAAACCAGCCUGAUCAACAUGGAGAAACCCUGUCUCUACUAAAAAUACAAAAAUUAGCUGGGCGUGGUGGCACAUGCCUGUAAUCCCAGCUACUCAGGAGGCUGAGGCAGGAGAAUCUCUUGAACCCAGGAGGCGAAGGUUGCAGUGAGCCAAGAUCACACCAUUGCACUCCAGUCUGGGCAAGAAGAGCAAAACUCCAUAAAAAAAAAAAAAAAAAAAAAAAAAAAGCUCUCUUUCCUGAGACAUGCAGACCCUGUUGCUAUGGCCCCCAAUGGUGGCAGCAGGACAGGAGUUACUCACCGUGGUGUCAGGUCAAGGCUCGGGGAGUCAGAGGGUGGGCAGUGGGCACUGGCAGAGGUGACUGAGACUCCCAGCUGGGCCUCCCAUCACACAGCAGCUCCCAAAGGCAGCUGGCAGCCAGGUUGAAAAGGAUUAUCUAAACAGGGGUUCUUGGUUUCCUGGCAGCAAUGCAAUGUCCCUCAGCAACUGGCCAUGUCACCUGACCUAGCUGCAGGAGCAGAGAAAAUCUCCAGCCCCCCCGCCCCCGGGCCCUCAUCAUUGCACCUGGGUACAUGCAUGUGUGGCAGAGGUAAUACACAAAGAACUGACGUGGCAAAUUCUGGGUACCAUUUUACAUUUCCUUUCAUCCUCCAGAACCCUGAUGAGGAUCAGGAAAUUGACAUGCAUAUGAGGCCAAUUAAUUUUCCCAAGGCCACCUAGCAAAUAAGUGGCAGAGAAUAGGCAUGUCUCACUCCAAAUCCUGUGUUAUUUCCAUCCUCGCUCCAUCUGUUCCCUGGAUGAUCUUUCUACCUCUACCUUCCUGGCUGGCAUUGGUACUGGACUCUUCAUCAUUAUCAUAGUCUCCAUCAAUAUCAGUCAACAUAUCUUUAUUAUCUUCAUGUCUUCAUCACUAUUACCAUCACCCUCACCCUUAUCUCAUCAUCAUCACCAUCACCAUCAUCACAUUACCACCAUCACCAUCACCAUUGUCAUGAUCUGUUUAAUGCUACUAUAACAGAAUACCUGAGACUGGGUAAUUUAUAAAAAACAGAGAUUUAUUUCUUACAGUUUUUGAGGCUGUGAAGUUCAAGUUCAAGGUGCCAGUGUCUUGUGAGGGUCUUCUUGCUCGUCAUGCCAUGAUGGAAGGUGGAAGGGCAAGACAGCACAUGUGAGAAAGAGAAGGGAAGGAGGCCAAACUCAUCCUUUUAUCAAGAACCCACUCCCAAGAUAACUAACCCACUUUCACUUCCAUUAUAACACCAUUAAUUCAUUCAUGAAGAAAGAGCCCCCAUUACCUAAUCACCACUUAGAGGUCUCACCUCUCAACACUGUUGCAUUAGGGAUUAAGUUUCCAAUACAUGAACUUUAAGAAACACGUCCAAACCGUAGCAGCCAUAUCAUCACCACCACUUUUGUUAUUACCACCAUCAUUAUCAUCACUAUCUUCAUCAGCACCAUCCAUCACUAUUAUCAUCAUCACUAUCAUCAGCACCAUCAUCACUGUCAACAUCAUCAUCAUCAUCACUAUCAUUAGCACUUCAUUACCAUCAUUAUCAUCAACACCAUCAUCACUAUCAUCAGCACCAUCACCACCAUCAUUAUCAUCAUCACCAUCACUAUCAUCAACUCCAUCAUCACUGUCAGCACCAUCAUCACCAUCAUUACAUCACUAUCAUCAGCACCAUCAUCACUACCAUCAUCACCAUCAUCAUCCUCCUCUUCACCAUUAUCAUCACCACCAUCAUAUCAUGUUGUGAUGGUGAUUAUCCCAUAUUAAAUCAAACUCCCCACUGAUUUCUCAUCACUCUUAAGAUAGAUAAAAACCAAAAUCUUGGUCUUAAUGCACAAGCCCUACAGCAGCCCAUCUGUGUUAGCACAUUCUUACAUUGCCAUGAAGAAAUACCUGAGGCUGGGUAAUUUAUAAAGAAAAUAGUUUCAUUUUGGCUCACAGUUCUGCAGGCUGUACAGGAAGUGUGGUACCAGUGUCCUCUUCUGGUGAGGGCCUCAGGAUGCUUACAGUCAUGGUGGAAGGCAAAGGGGGAGAAGGCAUGUCACAUGGCGAGAGUGGAAGCAAGGUGUGGGGGGAGGUCCUAGACUUUAAAACAACCAGAUCUCACAUGAACUAACUGAGUGAGAGCUCACUUACCACCAAAAGGAUGGUGCCAAAUCAUGGGAUCUGCCCCAGGACCCAAUUACCUCCCACCAGGCCCCACCUUCAACAUUCAGAAUCACAUUUCACCAUGAGAUUUGGAUGGGACAAACAUCCAAACUAUAUCACUAUCCCUUGUCCCUCCCACAUCAAUCCUCUGUGCUCCAGCUCUCUUGCACCCCUUCUACUCGUUAAAGAAUGCACAACCUUUGUUAUCUGGGGACAUUGCUACCCUCUUCGCACAUUUCACUUCUGCUCAGCCAGAUCUCAGUUUGAAUGACUCUUCUGGAAAAUGUCUCCUGAUGCUUAGAAUGGACCUCAGCUCCCUGCUUUAUACAGGCAUACCUCAGAGAUAGUGCAGGUUUGGUUCCAUACCAGCACAAUAAAGUGAAUAUCACAAGAAAGCAAGUCACAUGAAUUUUAGUUUCUCAGUCCAUGUAAAAGUUAUGUUUACACUCAACCCAAAUGUCCAUCAAUGAUAGACUGGAUUAAGAAAAUGUGGCGCAUAUACACCAUGGAAUACUAUGCAGCCAUAAAAAAGGAUGAGUUCAUGUCCUUUGUAGGGACAUGGAUGAAGCUGGAAACCAUCAUUCUGAGCAAAUUAUCGCAAGGACAGAAAACCAAACACCGCAUGUUCUCACUCAUAGGUGGGAAUUGAACAAUGAGAACACUUGGACACAGGGUGGGGAACACCACACACUGGGGCCUGUCAUGGGGUGGGAGAAGGGGGGAGGGAUAGCAUUAGGAGAUAUACCUAAUGUAAAUGAUGAGUUAAUGGGUGCAGCACACCAACAUGGCACAUGUAUACAUAUGUAACAAACCUACACGUUGUGCACAUGUACCCUAGAACUUAAAGUAUAAUAAUAAAAAAAAGUUAUGUUUACACUAUAAUGUAGUCUAGUAAGUGUGCAAUAGCACUAUGUCUAAAAAAAAAUGUAUAUACCCUAAUUUUCAAAUACUUUAUUGCUAAAAAAUGCUAACAAUCAUCUGAGGCUUCAGCAAGUGAUAAUCUUUUUGCUGGUGGAGAGCCUUGCCUCGAUGUUGAUGACUGCUGACUGAUCAGGGCGGUGAUUGCUGAAGGCUGGGGUGGCUGUGGCAAUUUCUGAAAAUAAGACAAUGAGGUUUGCUGCAUUAAUUGACCCUUCCUUUCAUGAAAGAUUUCUCCAUGGCAUGCAGUGCUGUUUGAUAGCAUUUUACCUACAGUAAAUAGAACUUCUUCCAAAUCUGGAGUCAGUCCUCUCAAGGUCUACUGCUGUCUUAUCAAUGAAGUGGAUGUAAUAUUUCAAUAACAUUCACAGUAUCUUCACCAAGAGUAGAUUUCAUCUUAUUAAACCACUUUCUUUGCUCAUUCAUAAGAAGCAACUCCUCAUCUCUUACAGUUUUAUCAUGAGAUUGCAACAAUUCAGUCACAUCUUCAGACUCCACUUCUAAUUCUAGCUCUCUUGCUAAUUCCACCACAUCUGCAGUUACUUCCCCCACUGAAGUCUUGAACCUCUCAAAGUUAUCUAUGGGGGUUGAAAACAACUUCUUCCAAACACCUGUUAAUGUUGACAUUUUGAAUUCCUACCAUGAAUAAUGAAUGUUCCUAUUGGCAUUUAAAAUGGUAAAUUCUUUCCAGACAGUUUUCGAUUUACUUUGCCCAGAUCCAUCACAGGAAUCACUAUUUAUGGCAGCUAUAGCCUUAUGAAAUGUAUUUCUUAAUAAGACAAAAGUUGAAAUUACUUAUUGGUCCAUGGGCUGAAAAAUGAAUGUUGUGUUAGCAAGCACAUAAACCUUAACCUCCUUAUAUACAUCUCCACCAGAGCUCUUAGGUGCCUUGUCAAUGAGCAGUAAUAUUUUGAAAGGAAUCUUUUUUUCUGAGAAGUAGGUCUCAACAGUGGGCUUAAAAUAUUCAGUAAACCGUUCUGUAAACAGAUGUGCUCUCACCCAGGCUUUAUUGUUGCAUUGAUAGAGCACAGGCAGAGUAGAUUUAGCAUAAUUCUUAAGGGCCCUCUGAUUUUCAGAAUGAUAAAUAAGCAUUGGCUUCAACUUAACAUCACCAGCUGCAUUAACUCCUAACAAGAGAGUCAGUCUGUUAUUUUGAAACUUUGAAGCCAGACAUUGACUUCUGCUCUCUAGCUAUGAAAGUCCUAGAUGGCAUCUUCUUUCUUUUUUUUUUGUUUUUUGUUUGUUUGUUUGUUUGUUUGUUUGUUUGUUUUGACAGAGUCUCACUUGUCAUGCAGGCUGGAGUGCAGUGGUGUAAUCACAGCUCACUGCAGCCUUGACUUCCCAGGCUCAGGUGAUUCUCCCAUCUCAGCCUCCCUAGUAGCUGGGACUACAGGCAUGCAUCACCAUGCCUAGCCAUUUUUUUUUUUUAUUUUAGUAGAGAAGGAGUUUCUCCAUGUUGCUCAGGCUGGCAGCAUCUUCUUUCGAUAGAAAGCUGUUUCAUCUACGUGGAAAAUUUGUUGUUUAGUGUAGCCACCUUCAUCAGUUAUUAUGGUACAUACCUUGUAUGCACUAAGGUAUGCCUGUACUCAUAUAUUGCCCUUUAUUCCUCUUACACCAUUUACUACAAUUUUUCUUAAUGUUUAAUGUUAUGCCUAACCUUGCUAUCAGGAUCAGCUCCAUGAAGGCAGGGGCUGUGUCUGUCCUGCCCACUGGUGUACCCUCAGUGCCUAUUGUGCAGAGAGGCAAAUGCCAGACUGAAGAUUAUUAAACGGCUUGUCUUUAAGGCCAGCGGAUUUAGAUGGGGGGAAAAGAUGAAGAGGAAAUCUGAGGCCAAAGACUCAGUUUGAGCAGAGGCCAGGGCCACGCCAUGGCAUUUCACAUGGGCUUCCUUGGCUGUGACAGGAAGGUGGAGAGAAGCAACUUAAACUGCAGAGCAACAAGACUAAACUCAGCAUCUGCAAGGACAGAGUGAACAUCCAGGUAGACGAUGGGCUAGAGGAGUCCUGGAAGCAGAGGGAAGUGUCCUUGUGAUGGGCCAGAGGUAGGGAAGAGGAGUGCUCCUCCAAAGCCAGGUUUUAAAUUGAUCAGGAGUGUCAGAGGUAUGGUGCUUUUCUGGAACACUCCUCGAGAUCUGAGAGAUCUUGAGCAUAUUGACAUCAUUGCAAUUAGAUUUCCAAUCCAUAUCAAAGGAUAUUGGAAUGUUGCUGCAUCUCUUGGUUAAACCUGGAUUUUAAAAAAUAAUUAAGUAAUAUAUACUGCUAAAGAUAAACUAAUUCUGACAGCUCCCAUAGUCCCCCAAUAUUUCUCCCUCCUUUCUUUCAAUUUCUGGCUAGACCCCCUCUACCACACUGAGCUCCUUGCCAGGCUGGGUCUCUUUGGCCCUGUGCCCCAGUCCCACUUCACAUGGUGGCUGCUGGCUCAGAGCGGUGCCCAGUCAGUUCUGGAAAGGAUAAAUAUAAUGAUUGUAUGCACCUGGGGGCGCUGGCAAGGAUGAUAAUGGUGUUUGGUCCUUCUUCCUGGCAUGCAACUGGCCUGCCUCCUGCUCCUCCUAGUGUGCGUAGGCUCUCCUCCUACACACACUAGCAUCUCUAUCACCCUUCUCCUCAUGGCAGAGUGACUUUUUAUUUAUCCACUGACUUGAGUGGUGGAGUUUAUUUUAUUGGAUUUUGGCACACAUGUGAAGCCUUUGAAAAGCCUCUUUAGUCGAUGACCAUAUUUCUCUUCUGACCACCAUGUCCACCCCCCACUGAAGCCUCCUGAAGGUCCAUGAAGUCUGGAUGAUAAUUAAAGUCAUCGCAGCUGGUGUCCUGGUCUGCAAAGCCCUGUGGCUACCCUCCCUGCAGGGCGGCAGCUGCCCCACCCACUGUCCUCUGCUCAGCACACCCCGCCCAUGCCCAGCCCAGAGUCCACCCACGCGCUGCCCCUCUGCCUGGAGCACUCCUGCAGGUCCCGGCCUGUUGUGUUCACUUAACUUUAAAGAUUAAUUGGCAGGGUGCGGUGGCUCACGCCUGUGAUCCCAGCACUUAAGGAGGCUGAGGUGGGUGGAUCACAAGGUUAGGAAAUCAAGACCAUCCUGGCCAACAUGGUGAAACCCCCUCUCUACCAAAAAUACAAAAAUUAGCUGGAUGUGGUGGCGCGUGCCUGUAAUCCCAGCUACUCGGGAGGCCGAGGCAGGAGAAUCACUUGAACCAGGGUGUCGAAGGUUACAGUGUGUGCACCC
RNAcentral lists this long non-coding RNA (7553 nucleotides) under Homo sapiens (human). RNAcentral describes it as "non-protein coding lnc-CFC1-2:7". The record is from RNAcentral. Lineage: Eukaryota; Metazoa; Chordata; Mammalia; Primates; Hominidae.